Molecule: long non-coding RNA, 3784 nt
Organism: Talpa occidentalis (Iberian mole)
Lineage: Eukaryota; Metazoa; Chordata; Mammalia; Eulipotyphla; Talpidae
Exons: 3
Source: RefSeq, a predicted model, not a curated record
ACAACGCCAACCAGCGCCCCCUCCCUCGGGACUCCCCGUACCUGGCUGCAGGCGUUGGGUGCCAGACAGAAGUCCCCCAGCGCUCUGCGGAGCUGGCUUAGCUCCACUCACACCAGCAGUUCUGGGACCUUCGCGGGGUGGGGUCUCAGCCUUCCCUGCGCCUGACUCCGGGCGGAAGCAUGGUAACGCGUGCCGGUGGGCCCCCCAGCUCUUUCCCUCGGGGGUCCCUGGAGAGCAGAGCCUGAGCAGAACCAGAAUACCCGAGCAGCAGCGCAGCUGCUAAUCCUGCAGCGAGGAUCAGACCGCCUGAGGGGCUGGAUGCGGAGAUCAGAGAAGGGAGGGGUGGAGGCCUGUGCCGCAUCCCAGGGUGACUGAGUGGCCUGGCCGCCAGCGAGGCCGAGACCUUUACAUUUGCAGAGACCAAUACUUGUCUGCCAGGCCUCAUCAAGCAUUGCUUUUCUGAUUAAGACUUCCAGCGGCCCAUGCAGCUGUCUGUGAGCGCCCUUCUCCUGGAUACCAGAACAGGGACACACAUCAGAGGAACUUCCCAAGCCAGUAUGUUCAUUGCUGACCAGCCUCCUCUGAAAUCAGAACCUUCGAUACAUACACAAACACCUUGAGACUUGGGGCCUCCAGGCUGCAGUAGGAGAACAAAGGAUAGGUUAAGUUGCUUGAUAUAAUGAAAAGGGGCUGGGUCUAUUACCAGCCAAACACUGCCCCCCGUUCAUUCCUGGGGGACAGUGGCACCCAUUUCUAGAGGGAGACUUUGCUUCCUAGUUGCUGAGAUCCUACUUCUUGCAUGAGAAGCAAGUAAAUAGAUUGGUGCCCCCCUACUUCUGCCCCCAAAGGAUCCCUGGGCAGGAGACAAGCAACCCCCAAAGGCAGGGCUGCUGCUCACUGAACCCACCAAAGAGGCACAUUUAAUGUGAUCAAUGGUAGGUGGAAAAGUGCCUGAAGCACAAGUGUUUUCUCAGUGGUGUCACUCUUACAAAGUCAAACUGGGGGGCCCUUGCUGGGUAGGCCUCAGGUGUGCUGACUGGAAGCCAGGCUGGAAGCAUCUUCCUAUAGGCAUGGCAUGUUGUCCCAUCUGACUGCUACAGAUGUGCUCUGGCCACGAGCUCCCCAGCUACUCUCAAUGAUGGUGGGAAUAGAAGUCUCUGGAAACACACACAUGAUGUCUUCUCCGUCGCACCACCUGCACCCUGGACUCAUGGCCUCUGGAUGCUCUGACUGUCAUGAACAGUAGUUUCUUCAAACACAGAUACAGUACUAGCCCCUCAAACAGCAACAGACGUGCUCCGCGAUGUCUGCCGGGAGCCUCUCGGGCACGUGUUUCUCAGGGGUGCAGGCUUCUCCAAUAGUAACAGGGUUUUUCUGACCAGAUAGAUACCUGCCCUGGCCAGAGGUAAGAGAAGACUCUCUAUCAUAGUCACAGUCCCGGCCCGUCCAUUGUGACACUUGUGUUUGGACACGCAGGACUCAAGGGUUCUGAUCACUGUUGGGGACACGGUGGCCCCCUAUAACCCAGGUGGGGAAUUGGCUCUUCCCAGGCAGUUGACGUCACAUGACUUUCCCCGUGAUGCUAUCGCUGCCAGUAGUAACAGGUGCGCUUUGUCUGGGCAGGCCCCAGGUGAUCCAACCUUAGUGAGAAGAGCGUCUCCCAAGAGAGUUUUGCUCCCCGUAACACCUGCCUCUCCAGGCGUGAUGGGGGUGACAGGCUGGCAAGUCCCUGGUGUUCAGGGCUAAGCGUCUCCCAACAUGAGACGCUAAGGUGCCAGGGGGUGUCAUCCUCCACCUGCCCUAAAGCUGAGUGCUUCAAACAUGGAGCAGGGGUUUGGGGUGACACUCCGACGUCAUUGAGCUGCAGAUCCCAUGAAAGAAAUGGGUCUAGGGAGGUGUGAGCAAAAGAUGAACCGUGUCUAGUGUCGGAUAUCCUGGUAACAGUUCCAGGCAAGAGGCCAUAGCUGAGGUGCCACUGCAGGCUGCCUGGGUUCCUGACAGAGCUGCCAAAGGCAGAACGGGAGAGCUGGUGUGCAAACACUGACUGACCUGUGCUCCCACUGGGUUUCUGGGCUGCUGCAGAGCUGAAGCCUGGGGCUGGUACCAAAGGGGAUGUGCAAUCAGCCCAAAGGGGACGUGCAAUCAGCCACGCCAGGAGGAGCCUGGGGAAGAGGACUUGUAGCCACAUCUUUUCAUCAGAGUCUGACUUAGGUUUUCGUGUGCAGGUGGCUAAGGUCCUGGCAGCAGGGAUGCAGGUAACCAAGAGCAGUGAUGGACACUCUAGCUAGAUGGGGGGUGCCCUGGGGAGAGUAACUCCCAAGCUGCCUAUGAGGGGCUCCAAAUGUGACUGGGGGGUGGCUCCUGGUCUCAGAGAAAAGUUCAAAGCUGGAGUAUGGCUCCUGGUAGAGACUGAAAAGUGUUCUACAUGGGAUAGGCCUGGUCAAGGUGGGGGGGGGUGUUAGGGAGAGCAGACACUAGGCCCCAAGGGAGACCUGGAGAUGACAAUCUGUGAAGGGGACGUGGCGCCCAUGUUGGUCACAUUCGAUUCCAAAGCCAGCUGGGAGGACAAGCCUGCAGAUGUGCUGCCUUGCUCCGUGGAUGUCAUGGGGACUGUGAUGACAGAGGUACUGGUGGGAGUGAGGGGGAUCGCGGUGGGCUGAAGGGGGGCUGACACCUCAUCAGGGUGGACUGGGGAGAGAGAACGGCGGGUGGGGAUGCAGGGGUGAGUUUUCUUUAAAAACUGUUCAUGAAGAGCAGCGUGUUUUCUCUCUGCCCCUGGUAGGGUAGUAUAUGAUUGGGAGACACUCUUCCUAGGCCAGGCUUUCCUUGUCCAGCCUGGAGUGGGACUCAGUGCCCUUCCUCAGUCUCUGGAAUUCCUGCACCUGGUUGCAGGUGAACCUCUGGGUUGCAGUUCAACAAGCAUGCACCUCUUCCUGGGGCACCUCCAAGUUGGCUUUGGCCAGGUCUGUGGUUUGAGCUUUUGAGGAGCAGCAGCUCCUGAAAAUGAUUCCACCUAGAACACAAUUGGCAGAAGGGUGUGCUCUGCUCGGUGGUGUGUGAAAUGAAAUGUUUCUGGUUUUCCUUGCACAGGAUAAAGUUCUGCCCUGGAACCGUGCAGGAGCAGAGCCUAGCACUGGGGCAGGGUGAAUUAGGAAAAGCACUACUGUCUCUUUUCUAAGAGUGUCUUUGCCACUGUUAAAGCACCUUCCUUCUAUGCUUAAUAAAAUGCACUGGGGAAAUUGUUUGGACCUACAAGUGUCUUCCUUAUUAUCCUUCUAAGGCCUGCCAGGUCUGUACAGCGCCCACACCCCCCACUCCCACCGCUAUUGGUAAUUUGAAUUGUCUUUAUUAUAUCUCCAUUAAUAUUAGUUGACAUUUUCCACUUUUUAAUUUUUAAGGUUAAUAAAGAUUUAUUUACAAGGGAAAUGAGAAGAGGGAGAACAGAGAUUAAUUGAGUAAUAUGUCCCACCAGGAAAGCUGUCUGAGUGGGAACCCUGGGUACUUGCUGAAGGCAGGCAGAACCAAGAGUCUUUUGUAAAUCAAGUUUUGGGGGCCUCCCUGGUAGCACGAGGGGUUAAGCACAGCACUAUGAAGCUAUCCGCAGCCUAUGCAGCACGAAUUUAAUCCCCAGCCAGGGAGCUACCCACAUGGCGCAGCAGACCUCUCCUGUCUCGCCCGCUGCACCCCUCAGAGUAUAUUUCGGUAGAUCUGCCUGUUCUUCCCCCUGCUCUGUCUCUGGUGAAUCCUCUCUCCCCCUGCACCUCUGGCCUGUACCCCAGUUGUU